RNAcentral lists this ribosomal RNA (405 nucleotides) under uncultured bacterium. Its description in RNAcentral is "partial 16S ribosomal RNA". It matches the Rfam family "Bacterial small subunit ribosomal RNA", at positions 30 to 526 of the family's 1533-position model. The record is from RNAcentral.
AUUGAACGCUGGCGGCAGGCCUAACACAUGCAAGUCGAACGAGUGGCGGACGGGUGAGUAAUGUCUGGGAAACUGCCCGAUGGAGGGGGAUAACUACUGGAAACGGUAGCUAAUACCGCAUACCAUCGGAUGUGCCCAGAUGGGUGUAGCUAGUAGGUGGGGUAAGGGCUCAACUAGGCGACAACCCCUAGCUGGUCUGAGAGGAUGACCAGCCACAGUGGAACUGAGACACGGCCCAGACUCGUAGGGGAUGUAGCAGGGGGUACUAUUGCAACAGGGGUGAAAGCCUGAUGCAGCCAUGCCGGGUGUAUGAAGAAGGCCUUCGGGUUGUAAAGUACUUUCAGCGGGGGGGCGUUACUCGCAGAAGAAGCACCGGCUAACUCCGUGCCAGCAGCCGCGGUAUAC